GCCUCGUUUAUAACAGCAUCACAGUAUGGUAAGGGACGUAACAUUUCCGUCACAUGCUUGAAGUAUUCAGCCAAUCACAACACACUGUAUAGCUGGCCAAUCAGAGCACACUUUGCUUUUCAGAACGAUUAGCUUUGUAAAAAACGACGCAUUUCAGAAGGCGGGGCAUAGAGGAGAAACAAUAAUGUACAGUAUGUGGAAAAUAAUGUGUUUUUUAAACCUUAAACCACAUAAACACAUUGCAUUACACCAAAUACACAAAAUUAUGUUCUUUUUAGCAACACCAUAUGACCCUUUUAAAUUGAAAAAUGCUGCGAAUCAAACUCAAGGAUUGUGUACAGGAUUUUAGGGAGCAUGUGUGUUGUGUUGGGUCUCAGAAUGACGUGUUGCUUUGGUAUCAUUCUCUGGAGAUUCACGCCACUGAGAGACUCACACUUUGAACACGCUCCCUUACGCUGCAGCUAUUACUUGCAUAUCAACACGAGAAGUUUUUAAGACGUCGGGAACUGCGCCUGACUGUAACGCUGUUUAAAGCUUUCAGGUCAAGGCUCACGGCAGCACUGCGCUCGACGCCAUCAUAAGCGGCAGCCUUCACGACAGUAACCAUAGCAACACCAUCCCUAACAUCAGCAGUGGCGAGACAGGUUUCCCUCCCACAGGCUCUGUCCAGUAAGGAACAGCUAAGAGGUCGAGAAGACAAGUGUCCGCCCCUAUGCUGUCAAUUAGCGGCCGGCACGUAAGGACCGACGGUUGCAUUUGUCGAUGGAUUUGGUUUGAAAGGUCGCCUUGGCAAAGGAAGUUUACAUUUGAAUACAAUCUGGUGCCUCAAACACACCCACUACAAAACAGCAUCUGGAAUAUAUUAAAUAAAUAAUAAUAUUAAUCAUAAUAAAAAAAAAGAAAUU
Cyprinus carpio carpio is the source of this 905-nucleotide long non-coding RNA. The record is from Ensembl. NCBI's taxonomy places the organism in Eukaryota, Metazoa, Chordata, Actinopteri, Cypriniformes, Cyprinidae.